This 763-nucleotide ribosomal RNA is filed under the name marine CFB-group bacterium SY040. RNAcentral describes it as "bacterial SSU rRNA". It matches the Rfam family "Bacterial small subunit ribosomal RNA", at positions 65 to 816 of the family's 1533-position model. The record is from RNAcentral. Lineage: Bacteria; Pseudomonadati; Bacteroidota.
AGGGGCAGCGGGGAAAAGCUUGCUUUUCCGCCGGCGACCGGCGCACGGGUGCGCACCGCGUAUGGAACCUGCCUUGUACAGGGGAAUAGCCCAGGGAAACUUGGAUUAAUGCCCCGUAGUACCGUAUUUCGGCAUCGUUAUACGGUUAAAGCCUUCGGGCGGUACAAGAUGGCCAUGNNNCCCCAUUAGCUUGUUGGUAAGGUAACGGCUUACCAAGGCUACGAUGGGUAGGGGCCCUGAGAGGGGGAUCCCCCACACUGGUACUGAGACACGGACCAGACUCCUACGGGAGGCAGCAGUGAGGAAUAUUGGACAAUGGAGGAGACUCUGAUCCAGCCAUGCCGCGUGCAGGAAGAAUGCCCUAUGGGUAGUAAACUGCUUUUAUACGGGAAGAAAAAGAGCUACGUGUAGCUUACUGACGGUACCGUAAGAAUAAGGACCGGCUAACUCCGUGCCAGCAGCCGCGGUAAUACGGAGGGUCCGAGCGUUAUCCGGAAUUAUUGGGUUUAAAGGGUCCGUAGGCGGGCCGAUAAGUCAGGGGUGAAAGUCUGCCGCUCAACGGUAGAACUGCCUUUGAUACUGUCGGUCUUGAGUUAUAGUGAAGUUGCCGGAAUAUGUNNUGUAGCGGUGAAAUGCAUAGAUAUUACAUAGAACACCGAUUGCGAAGGCAGGUGACUAACUAUAUACUGACGCUGAUGGACGAAAGCGUGGGGAGCGAACAGGAUUAGAUACCCUGGUAGUCCACGCCGUAAACGAUGGAUAC